RNAcentral lists this small RNA (594 nucleotides) under Pan troglodytes (chimpanzee). RNAcentral's name for it is "retained intron". The record is from RNAcentral. Lineage: Eukaryota; Metazoa; Chordata; Mammalia; Primates; Hominidae.
CAUUGCCCUCUUCAAGGCCCAUGAGGUGGCCUCCAAAAGGAUUGAGGAAAAGAUCCAAGAAGAGAAGUCAAUCCUGCAGAACCUCGACUUGCGGGGCCAGUCCAUCUUCAGUACCAUCCACACCUAUGGCCUCUAUGUGAACUUCAAGAACUUUGUCUGCAACAUCGGGGAAGAUGCAGAGUUGUUUAUGGCCCUCUAUGACCCAGACCAGUCCACUUUUAUCAGGUAGCAGAGACCCACAUCCCCUGCUGCUGACCUAACAAAGAUACCCAGCCUUCCCCUGACCCCUACCCAGGCAGCUCUUUGCCAGAUUUGAGAAGAGAAAAUAGGGAAGCAGGGAAGAUUUCUAAGCAGUAGAAUGUAAAAUCAUAUGGUCUAUGAAGCCUUCAUAUGUCACUACUAGAACAAUGCGGCCAGUUUGUAUAAUCUCUGGGAUUUAGAGAUCACAUAAAACUCAUUAGGGCUUGGAGAUGGGAACAAAGAAUUCAAAACACUGUGUGGGAGGGUGAGAAAGGGAUGAAUAGGCAGAGCACAGAGGAUUUUUAGAGCAACGGCACUAUUCUGUAUGAUGCUAUAGUGGUGGAUGCAUGUCAU